RNAcentral lists this ribosomal RNA (253 nucleotides) under uncultured bacterium. RNAcentral describes it as "partial 16S ribosomal RNA". It matches the Rfam family "Bacterial small subunit ribosomal RNA", at positions 524 to 776 of the family's 1533-position model. The record is from RNAcentral.
GACGUAGGGCGCGAGCGUUGUCCGGAUUUAUUGGGCGUAAAGAGCUCGUAGGCGGCUUGUUGCGUCGACUGUGAAAACCCGCGGCUUAACUGCGGGCUUGCAGUUGAUACGGGCAGGCUAGAGUUCGGUAGGGGAGACUGGAAUUCCUGGUGUAGCGGUGAAAUGCGCAGAUAUCAGGAGGAACACCGGUGGCGAAGGCGGGUCUCUGGGCCGAUACUGGCGCUGAGGAGCGAAAGCGUGGGGAGCGAACAGG